This 343-nucleotide ribosomal RNA is filed under the name Virgibacillus halodenitrificans. Its description in RNAcentral is "bacterial SSU rRNA". It matches the Rfam family "Bacterial small subunit ribosomal RNA", at positions 1 to 317 of the family's 1533-position model. The record is from RNAcentral. Lineage: Bacteria; Bacillati; Bacillota; Bacilli; Caryophanales; Bacillaceae.
UUUAUGGAGAGUUUGAUCUUGGCUCAGGACGAACGCUGGCGGCGUGCCUAAUACAUGCAAGUCGAGCGCGGGAAGCAAGCUAAUCCUCUUCGGAGGUGACGCUUGUGGAACGAGCGGCGGACGGGUGAGUAACACGUGGGCAACCUGCCUGUAAGACUGGGAUAACCCCGGGAAACCGGGGCUAAUACCGGAUAAUACUUUUCAUCACCUGAUGAGAAGUUGAAAGGUGGCUUUUAGCUACCACUUACAGAUGGGCCCGCGGCGCAUUAGCUAGUUGGUGAGGUAACGGCUCACCAAGGCAACGAUGCGUAGCCGACCUGAGAGGGUGAUCGGCCACACUGGG